GACGAACGCUGGCGGCGUGCUUAACACAUGCAAGUCGAACGGAAAGGCCCUGCUUUUGUGGGGUGCUCGAGUGGCGAACGGGUGAGUAACACGUGAGUAACCUUCCCUUUACUUUGGGAUAACUUCAGGAAACUGGGGCUAAUACCGGAUAGGAGCUCCUGCUGCAUGGUGGGGGUUGGAAAGGUUGGGCGGGUGGGGAUGGACUCGCGGCUUAUCAGCUUGUUGGUGGGGUAGUGGCUUACCAAGGCUUUGACGGGUAGCCGGCCUGAGAGGGUGACCGGCCACCUUGGGACUGCGAUACGGCCCAGACUCCUCCGGGAGGCAGCAGUGGGGAAUAUUGCACAAUGGGCGGAAGCCUGAUGCAGAAACGCCGCGUGCGGGAUGCCGGCCUUCGGGUUGUAAACCGCUUUCGCCUGUGACGAAGCGUGAGUGACGGUAAUGGGUAAAGAAGCACCGGCUAACUACGUG
This 468-nucleotide ribosomal RNA is filed under the name uncultured bacterium. Its description in RNAcentral is "partial 16S ribosomal RNA". It matches the Rfam family "Bacterial small subunit ribosomal RNA", at positions 28 to 507 of the family's 1533-position model. The record is from RNAcentral.